This is a long non-coding RNA of Cucurbita moschata (crookneck pumpkin), 635 nucleotides long. RefSeq lists it as uncharacterized. Lineage: Eukaryota; Viridiplantae; Streptophyta; Magnoliopsida; Cucurbitales; Cucurbitaceae. The transcript has 3 exons. The record is from RefSeq and is a predicted model, not a curated record.
AUUUCGCGGGGUAAGGUUUCUGAACGAUAUUGCUCAGAUCUGAGUUUUCCCCUACGUGAAUCGACCCUAAAAUGUUGAAAUCUUCACCUAGGAACAACUCACGCACGGUCUGCGAAGAAGUUUGGCCGAGACCUCAACCCAAAGACGGAGAUCCGAGGGUUAUCCGAGAACGGGACUUAAUUUAGAGAAAUCAGUAGUUUUGGACACCUCACGGGCAAAGAAACGCUAGCGAAAGGGCACGCGUCAACCAGGUAAGUCACCACCCGGUAUUUAGGAAGAAAUACUUGUAGGAUUCGCUAGGAUUGCAUGCAUGCUAGUAGUUCUGCUUCAGAUUAGCUCUUCAUGAGCGCGAGGCGUCGGUCAAGAGUGGGCGUGAUCUGAAGGGAAUUGUCACAGAGGGAUGGGUUGUCCCGGGGCGUCAGUCCAGUCUUAGUCUUUAUUUUUGUAUUCGCAUUCCUUUUAAAUUUAUUUUCCAAACGGUAUUGUGUUCUGUGUUAUCGUUCGAAAAACUUUAUUGAAAUUUGAUGAUUUUUGCUACUUCAUAUUUAAAUCUCUUGUGCGUCUGUGUCGUGUCGUUGGUCACUGUCCGUAGUAAAAUAUUGGGCUGUGACAUUAGACCUCUAAUUCCUCUUUUU